This is an RNA transcript of Carya illinoinensis, 1380 nucleotides long. It is a transcript of the gene named protein WHI3, with no coding region annotated. NCBI's taxonomy places the organism in Eukaryota, Viridiplantae, Streptophyta, Magnoliopsida, Fagales, Juglandaceae. The record is from RefSeq and is a predicted model, not a curated record. The transcript has 10 exons.
UAAAACAGAGAAUAUCGCCUUAGUGUGUUGUAACGACUAACAAGAAUGACGAAAACAUUAAAAGUUAUGUCGUCGUAAUAGCAUUAAUUUUUAUGCUGGACCCUUUGGUGAAUGAUUAAGCUAAAACCUCAAGCCUCUCCCGCAUCGAAUCCUGUGAACUACCAGCUUCACCAUUACCGGCACCGCCGGAAGGCCCCGCAAAAGCCACCUUCUUUCCGAUAUCAGCAGCCGAGAUGGCUCAUCACCAGCCAUACGAUCCCUACUACCUCCACCACCAACCACAGGCACAACAAGUAGACUUCAACGAUGACCGGAGCAGAAUCAACACGCUCUUCGUGUCGGGGCUCCCCGACGACGUAAAGGCGCGUGAGAUUCACAAUCUAUUCCGCCGCCGCCCUGGUUUUGACUCUUGCCAGCUGAAGUACACCGGCCGCGGAAACCAGGUCGUGGCAUUUGCCACCUUCUUCAAUCAUCAAUCAGCAAUUGCAGCACUGCACGCUUUAAAUGGUGUAAAAUUUGAUCCUCAAACUGGAUCUGUUCUUCAUAUUGAGCUUGCAAGAUCAAACUCCAGGAGAAAACGUAAACCAGGUAGUGGAGCCUAUGUUGUUAUAGAUAAAAGAACUAAGUCUGACACAAAUGCCCAAGAAACAUCUGGCGACGAUGGAGACAGUGAAUCUGAUGAACCGUCAGGGACUGAGAAUCCUGAAUCUGGCGAGAAUGAUGAUUUAGUGACCUCAAAAAGCGGCGAGACGGCUGGUGGUCCUGACAAUGUUGUGGCUUCGGAGCAGGCAGAGAAGCCUGUCGAUGGAGGACCAUGUUCCACUCUAUUUAUUGCAAAUCUGGGACCGAACUGCACUGAAGAUGAACUGAAGCAAGCACUAUCUCAGUAUCCAGGAUUCAAUAUGCUCAUUUUGCGUGCUAAAAGUGGAAUGCCAGUUGCAUUUGCAGACUUUGAGGUAUCCCGAAAUUGAACACGCAAAUAAAGUAAUGGAGGAACUUCAGGGGAGCUUGUUACCAUCAUCGGAUAGGGGUGGCAUGCAUAUAGAGUAUGCAAGGUCUAAAAUGAGGAAACGGUAGGGGAGAAAUGUCGUCAAAAGCGUCUAUGCCAUGAAGUCAAUUUUCGAUGUAUAAGAAAAGGGUCGGAGGUGACUUUGCAGAACUUUUUAUUUCGAUCAUACAUUAUAAUUGCAUGUUACUAGUACGCUGGAUUUUGAAACCCAACGGUGUAAAGCUCUAGGAAAUUGCUGCGUCUGAAAUUGUAGCAAAGGUUGAAGUUUGACUAGAACUGAGAUCAUCCUGUUAAUUGCCAACGUUCUCCUAUUUAGUUUGUGAAAGAUGGAGCGCUUUUUUGCGGCGGCUUCCGCUUGCACAAGAUCUUUA